UGCGUAGGCGGUGUGGUAAGUCUGAUGUGAAACCUCCAGGCUCAACUUGGAGCUGGCAUCAGAAACUGCCGUGCUAGAGUGCGGGAGAGGAGAGUAGAAUUCCCGGUGUAGCGGUGAAAUGCGUAGAUAUCGGGAGGAAUACCGGUGGCGAAGGCGGCUCCCUGGACCGCAACUGACGCUGAGGCACGAAAGCUAGGGGAGCAAACAGGAUUAGAUACCCUGGUAGUCCUAGCCGUAAACGAUGAACACUUGGUAUAGCGGGUAUCGAACCCCGCCGUGCCGGAGCUAACGCGUUAAGUGUUCCGCCUGGGGAGUACGGUCGCAAGGCUGAA
RNAcentral lists this ribosomal RNA (332 nucleotides) under uncultured bacterium. RNAcentral's name for it is "bacterial SSU rRNA". It matches the Rfam family "Bacterial small subunit ribosomal RNA", at positions 568 to 898 of the family's 1533-position model. The record is from RNAcentral.